Molecule: ribosomal RNA, 727 nt
Filed under: Liolaemus laurenti
Lineage: Eukaryota; Metazoa; Chordata; Lepidosauria; Squamata
Description: partial 12S ribosomal RNA
Rfam family: Bacterial small subunit ribosomal RNA
Source: RNAcentral
AAAGCACCAAGGAGCAGGUAUCAGGCACAACCCGUUAGCCCAAAACACCUUGCUACGCCACACCCACACGGGCACCCAGCAGUGAUUAACAUUAAGCUAUGAGUGAAAGCCAACUUAAGCUCGACUUAGUUAUGAUUAUUCGGGUCGGUAAACCUCGUGCCAGCCACCGCGGUUAUACGAGGGACCCAAAACAACGGACACCGGCGUAAAUUGUGACUAGAGCACCUACUUAUAACAUUGGAAGAUAAAUAAAAACUCAACCGUAAAACCUGAGCCAAAAGAAAUAUAUUCUCCCAACUACAAAGGAACUUGAACCCACGAAGACUAAGAAACAAACUAGGAUUAGAUACCCUACUAUGCUUAGUUGUCAACACGAUACCAAAAAACAUCGGUAUCCGCCAGAAAAUUACACGCGAAAAGCUUAAAACUCAAAGGACUUGGCGGUGCUCCGUACUCGCCUUAGAGGAGCCUGUCCUAUAAUCGAUAACCCACGCUUUACCUUACCAUUUUUUGUAAAACAGCCUAUAUACCGCCGUCGCAAACUUACCCCGUGAGGGCAUAACAGUAAGUAAAAUAGUAACGCACGAAUACGUCAGGUCAAGGUGUAGCUAAUAAGAUGGAAGAGAUGGGCUACAUUUUCUAAAACAGAAUAUACGGCAAAGAACAUUGAAACAUGCUCUAAAAGGUGGAUUUAAUAGUAAGAUAGAAAAGAGUGCCUAUCUAAGUC